AUUCCAGCUCCAAUAGCGUAUAUUAAAGUUGUUGCGGUUAAAAAGCUCGUAGUUGGAUUUCUGCCGAGGACGACCGGUCCGCCCUCUGGGUGAGUAUCUGGCUCGGCCUGGGCAUCUUCUUGGAGAACGUAACUGCACUUGACUGUGUGGUGCGGUAUCCAGGACUUUUACUUUGAGGAAAUUAGAGUGUUUCAAGCAGGCACACGCCUUGAAUACAUUAGCAUGGAAUAAUAAUAUAGGACCUCGGUUCUAUUUUGUUGGUUUCUAGAGCUGAGGUAAUGAUUAAUAGGGUCAGUUGGGGGUAUUCGUAUUCCGUUGUCAGAGGUGAAAUUCUUGGAUUUACGGAAGACGAACGACUGCGAAAGCAUUUACCAAGGAUGUUUUCAUCG
RNAcentral lists this ribosomal RNA (389 nucleotides) under Kapelodinium sp. RNAcentral's name for it is "partial small subunit ribosomal RNA". It matches the Rfam family "Eukaryotic small subunit ribosomal RNA", at positions 582 to 975 of the family's 1831-position model. Lineage: Eukaryota; Dinophyceae; Torodiniales; Kapelodiniaceae. The record is from RNAcentral.